This 484-nucleotide ribosomal RNA is filed under the name uncultured bacterium. RNAcentral's name for it is "bacterial SSU rRNA". It matches the Rfam family "Bacterial small subunit ribosomal RNA", at positions 28 to 521 of the family's 1533-position model. The record is from RNAcentral.
GAUGAACGCUGGCGGCGUGCCUAAUACAUGCAAGUCGAACGAGGUGCCUUUGUAGCAAUACGAAGGUAUCCUAGUGGCGAACGGGUGAGUAACGCGUUGGUGACCUACCCCAAAGUGUGGGAUAACAGAUCGAAAGAUCUGCUAAUACCGCAUGUGGUCUUCGGAUUUAGAAACUGAUGACUAAAGGAGCAAUUCGCUUUGGGAGGGACCUGCGUCCCAUCAGCUAGUUGGUGAGGUAAUGGCUCACCAAGGCUACGACGGGUAGGGGACCUGAGAGGGUGGCCCCCCCACAAUGGAACUGAAACACGGUCCAUACACCUACGGGUGGCAGCAGUAGGGAAUAUUGCACAAUGGGCGAAAGCCUGAUGCAGCAACGCCGCGUGUGCGAUGAAGGCCUUCGGGUCGUAAAGCACUUUUCUGAGGGAUGAGCAAGGACAGUACCUCAGGAAUAAGUCUCGGCUAACUACGUGCCAGCAGCCGCGGU